CAGUCGCCGCGGGAAUACAGAGGAUGCAAGCAUUAUCCGGAAUGAUUGGGCGUAAAGCGUCUGUAGGUGGCUUUUCAAGUCCGCCGUCAAAUCCCAGGGCUCAACCCUGGACAGGCGGUGGAAACUACCAAGCUGGAGUACGGUCGGGGCAGAGGGAAUUUCCAGUGGAGCGGUGAAAUGCGUUGAGAUCGGAAAGAACACCAACGGCGAAAGCACUCUGCUGGGCCGACACUGACACUGAGAGACGAAAGCUAGGGGAGCAAAUGGGAUUAGAGACCCCCGUAGUCCCUGUCUCUUAUAC
Molecule: ribosomal RNA, 301 nt
Filed under: uncultured bacterium
Lineage: Bacteria
Description: partial 16S ribosomal RNA
Rfam family: Bacterial small subunit ribosomal RNA
Source: RNAcentral